ACAUCGGUUGAUUCGUCCCGAUGCAGAAGCGUAUACAGCAUAGUACAGAACGGAUUUAGCUUCAAAAAUCAGAAGUAAUUCCGAAUGGCGAAGC
This 94-nucleotide non-coding RNA is filed under the name unclassified sequences. Its description in RNAcentral is "RAGATH-28 RNA". It matches the Rfam family "RAGATH-28 RNA". Rfam says of the family: Clostridiales (Firmicutes). Nearby to self-cleaving ribozyme genes The record is from Rfam by way of RNAcentral.